UUCGGGGAUAAUUUAGAAGAAUCAAAGAAGACAUUAAGGCGCGAUUGAAUGGGUUAAUAAAGUGAAAGGACCGCAUGCGCAAAUUGACCAUUUUCGGGCAGCGAAUCGGUCUUAGGCGCGGAUCCCUUUCCCUGUGAAAUGGCGCCGUUUUUUAAUAAAUGUGAAGUCUUUUUUCCUUCCAAAUGCAGCUACUCUUUUAGCGAAAACAAUAACCCUAAAAUCAAUUUGUGAGGGUUUCUAUCAUCUGUCGAAUCCACCAUUUUAUUUGGUGUUUGAUGGUGCCCCAACGGCGACUAGAUUCUGCCGACGAAUGCCAUGCUCAAAGAAAUCUGGUUCGUCUGUACGGAGGAAGGCCAUUCAUGGGGAGGCUGUGAUGCGCGCGAGUAGCAGUUCAGUGACCUAGAAUUUCCAGAGUCUUCAACCAUCCGGACAGUUUGGAUUAAUUUCGGGAUUGGGCCCACUAGAGUGUUAGUUUAUUUGGGCUAGAAUUUAGAUUUAAUGUUUGGUCAUGGGCUAUUUUAAACUAAUGAACCUUUUAUUGAAUUGUUUUUUUAUUUUUUGUUUUAUUUUGGUUUUGGGUUCUUUUCUGGGCCCAGAAUUUUGUAAAUGGACAUUGUUUUGGGCUAUUUAUUGUAUUUUAUUUAUUUAUUUUGAUUUAUAAUAGGCCGGGCGAAUUGGGCCUAUCACAAAGUCAAUUAUACAA
Gossypium arboreum is the source of this 703-nucleotide long non-coding RNA. RefSeq lists it as uncharacterized. Lineage: Eukaryota; Viridiplantae; Streptophyta; Magnoliopsida; Malvales; Malvaceae. The record is from RefSeq and is a predicted model, not a curated record. The transcript is spliced from 2 exons.